UAUCAAAAACAUCACCUCUAGCAUAUCAAGUAUUAGAGGCACUGCCUGCCCAGUGACAUACGUUAAACGGCCGCGGUACUCUGACCGUGCAAAGGUAGCAUAAUCAUUUGUUCCUUAAUUAGGGACUUGUAUGAACGGCCACACGAGGGUCUAACUGUCUCUUUCUUCCAAUCAGUGAAAUUGACCUCCCCGUGAAGAGGCGGGGAUAAACCUAUAAGACGAGAAGACCCUAUGGAGCUUAAAUUAAUUAGUUCAACCACAAAACAUAUACCCUACGGGGCCACCCAACAGUUUAAUGAACUAACAAUUUUGGUUGGGGUGACCUCGGAGAACAAAAAAACCUCCGAAUGAUACUAUAACCCAGACUUAACCAGUCGAAGUCCAUAAAUCACUUAUUGACCCAAUUAUUGAUCAACGGAACAAGUUACCCUAGGGAUAACAGCGCAAUCCUAUUUUAGAGUCCAUAUCGACAAUAGGGUUUACGACCUCGAUGUUGGAUCAGGACAUCCCAAUGGUGCAGCAGCUAUUAAAGGUUCGUUGUUCAACGAUUAAAGUCCUACGUGAUCUGAGUUCAGA
Molecule: ribosomal RNA, 576 nt
Filed under: Dugong dugon (dugong)
Lineage: Eukaryota; Metazoa; Chordata; Mammalia; Sirenia; Dugongidae
Description: partial 16S ribosomal RNA
Rfam family: Bacterial large subunit ribosomal RNA
Source: RNAcentral